RNAcentral lists this ribosomal RNA (496 nucleotides) under uncultured bacterium. RNAcentral describes it as "partial 16S ribosomal RNA". It matches the Rfam family "Bacterial small subunit ribosomal RNA", at positions 29 to 523 of the family's 1533-position model. The record is from RNAcentral.
AUUGAACGCUGGCGGCAUGCUUUACACAUGCAAGUCGAACGGUAGAGGGGGCAACCCCUUGAGAGUGGCGAACGGGUGAGUAAUGCAUCGGAACGUGCCCAGUCGUGGGGGAUAACGCAGCGAAAGCUGUGCUAAUACCGCAUACGAUCUCUGGAUGAAAGCGGGGGACCGAAAGGCCUCGCGCGAUUGGAGCGGCCGAUGUCAGAUUAGGUAGUUGGUGGGGUAAAGGCUCACCAAGCCAACGAUCUGUAGCUGGUCUGAGAGGACGACCAGCCACACUGGGACUGAGACACGGCCCAGACUCCUACGGGAGGCAGCAGUGGGGAAUUUUGGACAAUGGGCGCAAGCCUGAUCCAGCAAUGCCGCGUGCAGGAAGAAGGCCUUCGGGUUGUAAACUGCUUUUGUACGGAACGAAAAGGUCUGGGUUAAUACCCUGGGCACAUGACGGUAUCCGGAGAAGAAGCCCCGGCUAACUUCGUGCCAGCAGCCGCCGUAA